GGUCAAGCGGUAAAGGGCACACGGUGGAUGCCUUGGCAUCAAGGGCCGAUGAAGGACGUGGCAAGACUGCGAUAAGCCUCGGUUGGUUGUCUAGCAAACUUAACCGGGGAUUUCCGAAUGGGGCAACCCGGCCAGGCAAAACCUGGUCACCUCCGGCUGAACACAUAGGCCGGUUGGAGGGCACCGGGGGAAGUGAAACAUCUCAGUACCCCGAGGAAAAGACAUUAUUCCCUUAGUAGUGGCGAACGAACGGGGAACAGCCCAAACCUGAUAAGCUUAGUGGCUCUGCGGCCUAUGCUUAUCUGGUGUUGUAAGGCAGGUCAGGCUCAGCUCGGAAUGAGCCAUGGAGUUACCAACCGAAUUCUAGCUGAAAGUUCUGGAAAGGACUACCACAGAAGGUGACAGUCCUGUAAGCGAAAGAAAUAGGCUCCCGACCUUGCCUUGAGUACCACGGGACACGAGAAAUCUUGUGGGAAUCUACCCUGACCACAGGGUAAGGCUAAAUACCCUUGAUGACCGAUAGUGAACUAGUACCGUGAGGGAAAGGUGAAAAGUACCCCGAAAGGGGAGUGAAAUAGACCUGAAACCGUGUGCUUACAAGCAGUCGGAGGGAAGCAAUUCCUGACGGCGUGCCUAUUGAAGAAUGAGCCGACGAGUUAAUCUGUGUAGCAGGUUAAGCAAUUUGCAUUGCGGAGCCGUAGCGAAAGCGAGUCUGAAUAGGGCGUUUAAGUUGUACAGAUUAGACCCGAAGCCGGGUGAGCUAUCCAUGGCCAGGGUGAAGCUCCGAUAAUCUCGGAGUGGAGGCCCGAACCGGUCAACGUUGCAAAGUUGUCGGAUGAGCUGUGGAUAGGGGUGAAAUGCCAAACGAACCCGGGGAUAGCUGGUUCUCCCCGAAAUGCAUUUAGGUGCAGCCUCGGAUGAUCGCUAAUGGAGGUAGAGCUCUGGAUGGACUAGGGGAGAUAACAUCUCUUCAACUCCAACCAAACUACGAAUGCCAUUAGCCAAAAUCCGGGAGUGAGACUAUGGGGGCUAAGCUCCGUAGUCGAGAGGGAAACA
This 1056-nucleotide ribosomal RNA is filed under the name Dehalococcoidales bacterium. Its description in RNAcentral is "partial 23S ribosomal RNA". It matches the Rfam family "Bacterial large subunit ribosomal RNA", at positions 1 to 1024 of the family's 2925-position model. Lineage: Bacteria; Bacillati; Chloroflexota; Dehalococcoidia; Dehalococcoidales. The record is from RNAcentral.